UGGAGGGUUGGCCGAGUGGUCUAAGGCGGCAGACUUAAGAUCUGUUGGACGAUUGUCCGCGCGAGUUCGAACCUCGCAUCCUUCAG
This 86-nucleotide transfer RNA is filed under the name Kluyveromyces marxianus DMKU3-1042. Its description in RNAcentral is "tRNA-Leu (AUU)". It matches the Rfam family "tRNA". Rfam says of the family: Transfer RNA (tRNA) molecules are approximately 80 nucleotides in length. Their secondary structure includes four short double-helical elements and three loops (D, anti-codon, and T loops). The record is from RNAcentral. Lineage: Eukaryota; Fungi; Ascomycota; Saccharomycetes; Saccharomycetales; Saccharomycetaceae.